UACGUAGGGUGCGAGCGUUGUCCGGAAUUACUGGGCGUAAAGAGCUCGUAGGUGGUUUGUUGCGUCGGCUGUGAAAUCCCGAGGCUCAACCUCGGGUCUGCAGUCGAUACGAGCAAACUAGAGUGUUGCAGGGGAGACUGGAAUUCCUGGUGUAGCGGUGAAAUGCGCAGAUAUCAGGAGGAACACCGGUGGCGAAGGCGGGUCUCUGGGCAACAACUGACGCUGAGGAGCGAAAGCGUGGGGGAGCGAACAGG
This 254-nucleotide ribosomal RNA is filed under the name uncultured bacterium. RNAcentral describes it as "partial 16S ribosomal RNA". It matches the Rfam family "Bacterial small subunit ribosomal RNA", at positions 524 to 776 of the family's 1533-position model. The record is from RNAcentral.